Nilaparvata lugens (brown planthopper) is the source of this 1291-nucleotide long non-coding RNA. RefSeq lists it as uncharacterized. The record is from RefSeq and is a predicted model, not a curated record. Lineage: Eukaryota; Metazoa; Arthropoda; Insecta; Hemiptera; Delphacidae. The transcript is spliced from 3 exons.
CUAAUUCCUACCUCCUGCCAAAAGCAUCUAGAAUGACAAUACAUUUAUUAUUUACGGCGUAUUUAUCGUAAAUGAUGCUUGAAUUAAUCAAUACUGGUAUUUACGGUUCACAGACUAUCAGUCUUCAAUCUUCAGCCUACAGUAGGCUGUAGGCUCUGCACAGAGAAGAAGUAUUCCUUCUACUUUGUGGCCUACUACUGGUAUAAUGGAGAAUGCAGGGAUGGUCUACAUAGGUGGGGAGAGGGACGCAGACUGAGUCAUUGGAAUAAUAUGUUGGAUGGGGGCGAGAAAUCCAAUUUGUGGGUACUCACAAUCGUUUCUCUCUUGUUAAUCGAGCCAGAUUCUCCAGAUGUUCGGCAGUUAUUCCAUUCUCAAUGAGAAAAUCAGACCAGAGUUCUUUGCUAUCUGAACUUGGAAUUAAAAUGUCAGCGAAUACUUCUAGCUUGCUGAGUGCUUUGAUUUCAUCAUCAGAUCGAGCAGAACUUGGUUCCUCAGCUACUGCCACCAGAGUUUGUUAUUGAGAGCCCCUAAGCCAGAGGCCAGCAAUCGAUGAAUUAGCGCGGCCGAGUAGUCAAAAGAGCAGGCAGCCACUAGCCACGCGAUUAAUGAAGUGUGCAUGAAUAGACAGUCCCCUUCAUACAGGGGUGACUUCGGCUAUCUUUCAAUGGGAGUAGAGCGUGCACUGCAGACAGCCUUCCAUUGAUAUUAUGCAUUCAAUAAACGCUUUCUUCACGGAAAUACAGUGUACGUAGUAGAGCUUUAAGUAUAUUGACUCCAUUAUGUGAAUUAGUUUGUGUUUUAUUUCUGGUUCAAAAUUUGUCUUAAUAACUCAAUAUUUUCAAGUUUUGAGAGUUUAUUGAAUGUAAUCAUUCUAUUAUAUUCAGUUUUUAAUCAAAUCAAUUUCAAAAUUUCUAGUUUAUUUAUUUCUGGACUGAAAAGUGGACUCAAAUCAAUUCAAGUGAUUAUAGCAUAACCUAUAAUUUUUAUUCAUUCAUAACUCUACCUUCAUUGUAUUAUCAUUCAUCCCAUCAUCAUCACCUAGGCUUAAAAUACUUCUAGAAAGUCGCCUUUGUAAAAUAAUAAAUACAUAAAUAAAAUAAAAUUCUCAUUUAUAAUGGAUACAGUGGUGCUGCUAGAAGUUAAUAAUAUUUAUUUAUUUAUAGACCUAUAUUUUUCAUUUAUUUUUUGUAAGGUUUGCGCAGACUAUAGAACCACAGAAUCAAUAACUUAUUCUUGCCCUGUGCGGAAAUGGAGUCAAGAAUAAAAUCAAUGAUUUACAUAAGUUUUUAGA